AGGACGAACGCUGGCGGCGUGCCUAACACAUGCAAGUCGAGCGGGGACAUUGCGACGGACAUGAAGAUUUCGGUUGGAUUGAAAGAUGUAAUGUUCUAGCGGCGGACGGGUGAGUAACGCGUGAGCAACCUGUCCCUUACAGGGGGAUAACACAGCGAAAGUUGUACUAAUACCGCAUAAGACCACAGAGCGACAUCGCUUAGGGGUCAAAGGAGUAAUCCGGUAAGGGGUGGGCUCGCGUCCGAUUAGAUAGUUGGUGAGGUAACGGCCCACCAAGUCGACGAUCGGUAGCCGACCUGAGAGGGUGAUCGGCCACAUUGGGACUGAGACACGGCCCAAACUCCUACGGGAGGCAGCAGUGGGGAAUAUUGGGCAAUGGGGGAAACCCUGACCCAGCAACGCCGCGUGAGGGAAGAAGGUUUUCGGAUCGUAAACCUCUGUCCUUGGUGAAGAGAAAGAGACGGUAGCCAAGGAGGAAGCCCCGGCUAACUACGUGCCAGCAGCCGCGGUAAUACGUAGGGGGCGAGCGUUGUCCGGAAUGAUUGGGCGUAAAGGGCGCGUAGGCGGCCCGGUAAGUCUGGAGUGAAAGUCCUGCUUUUAAGGUGGGAAUUGCUUUGGAUACUGUCGGGCUUGAGUGCAGGAGAGGUAAGUGGAAUUCCCAGUGUAGCGGUGAAAUGCGUAGAGAUUGGGAGGAACACCAGUGGCGAAGGCGAC
This 714-nucleotide ribosomal RNA is filed under the name Clostridiales bacterium R10. Its description in RNAcentral is "bacterial SSU rRNA". It matches the Rfam family "Bacterial small subunit ribosomal RNA", at positions 26 to 725 of the family's 1533-position model. Lineage: Bacteria; Bacillati; Bacillota; Clostridia; Eubacteriales. The record is from RNAcentral.